UGUAAAGUUCAAGCUCCGAUUAUGAGGGCGAAACCGCGAAUGGCUCAUUAAAUCAGUCAUAAUCUACUUGAUUGUUUAAAGGUUAUAUGGAUAACUGUGGUAAUUCUAGAGCUAAUACAUGCACAAAAGGAGCGACUCGAGCAAUCGAGAAGCUCUGCGUUUAUUAGAUUAAGACCAAUGAUUGGCGCAAGCCUUUCUACGUCAAGGUGACUCUGAAUAAAUAAUGGGUGAAAGCCCAUGUUGCUGACCUGACAUACCAAAUAGGGCGCAAGCUCUAGUCAGGCAAAUCAAUCGAGUGUCUGCUCUAUCAACUGUGGAUGGUAGGGUAAUUGCCUACCAUGGUGAUGACGGGUAACGGGGAGUUAGGGCUCGACUCCGGAGAACAAGCCUGAGAAACGGCUAGUAGGACUAAGGUCUGCAGCAGGCGCGAAACUUACACAAUGCUAGAUUAAAAUUAGCGAUGUAGUGAAGAAAAAUAACGAUGUACUUUCAUCUACAAAUGAUAGUACAAUUGGAAUGAGACGACUAUAAACCAGUUAGUCGAGUAACAAAUGGAGGGCAAGUCUGGUGCCAGCAGCCGCGGUAAUUCCAGCUCCAUUAGCAUACAUUAAAGUUGUUGCGGUUAAAAAGCUCGUAGUUGAAUUUUAGGCGGGCUCUAUUGGAUUGCAAUCGUUAAGACUAUCUUGCUCCGGCUUGAUUAGUUGGUUGUAUCAUCCUAUAGGAACCCGCUGUUUCGUCACUUAAUUGAGUGCGAAGCGGGCUGAAACAUUUGCUUAACCUCCGCGGUUGCAUUGUUCCAGCAAGUUUACCUUGAGAAAAUUAGAGUGCUCACAGCAGGCAGUUGGGGCGUAAAAACCCCUUUAUGCUUGGAUAAUGUUGCAUGGAAUAAUAGAAUACGGCCUCGGUUCUAUUCUGUUGGUCUUAUAGAACAACAAACAAGUUGGUUAAAGCGACAAAAAGUUCGUUUGUGAGUGUGGCUUCAAGGGCCUUUCAUUUAGUUUUGCACUUACUAGUUGCGUUGUGUUGCCUAGGGCCUUAAAAUCUUAGUGCCGCGCGCUUCUAACCAAGUCAAUUCUUGUGUUUGUUGCCCUUAAAGUCAUUUAAAGCACUCCUAAUUGGGCUAGCUUUCUAAUCAACUGAGGCAAUGGUUAAAAGAAAUAGUCGCGGCGGCAUCAGUACUGCAUCGUGAGAGGUGAAAUUCUUAGACCGAUGCAAGACUAACUGAAGCGAAAGCGUUUGCCGAGGAUAUUUUCAUUAAUCAAGAACGAAAGUUAGAGGUUCGAAGGCGAUCAGAUACCGCCCUAGUUCUAACCAUAAACGUUGCCAACUAGCAAUUGGGUUGCGAUUCCUUUAAUCGAAGCGUAAAAAACUUCGAUCAUUAUGAUCCACCCAGCGGCUCUCGUAGGGAAACCAAAGUGUUUGGGUUCCGGGGGAAGUAUGAUUGCAAAGUUGAAACUUAAAGGAAUUGACGGAAGGGCACCACCAGGAGUGGAGCCUGCGGCUUAAUUUGACUCAACACGGGGAAACUUACUAGAUUAGAACUCUGGAAUGAUUGACAGAUUGAUAGCUCUUUCUUGAUUCAGAGGAUGGUGGUGCAUGGCCGUUCUUGAUUCGUAUUCCGAAACGUCUGCUUAAUUGCGAUAACGAGUGAGACCUCACCCAACUAACUAGUCGUUUGGUGCGCUGUGGGACGCAAAAGUUCCUGUAGGAUUUGUAUUAGGGUUGGCAGAAAUGUUAGCUCUAGUGCUGCCUGCGUGGAAUGUCCUCUGCUCGCCAGCGGACUUCUUAGAGGGAUAAACGGUGUUUUAGCCGUAAGAAACGAG
This 1823-nucleotide ribosomal RNA is filed under the name Calepitrimerus sp. NJAUEriZ207. Its description in RNAcentral is "bacterial SSU rRNA". It matches the Rfam family "Eukaryotic small subunit ribosomal RNA", at positions 56 to 1449 of the family's 1831-position model. Lineage: Eukaryota; Metazoa; Arthropoda; Arachnida; Trombidiformes; Eriophyidae. The record is from RNAcentral.